RNAcentral lists this ribosomal RNA (254 nucleotides) under uncultured bacterium. RNAcentral's name for it is "partial 16S ribosomal RNA". It matches the Rfam family "Bacterial small subunit ribosomal RNA", at positions 524 to 776 of the family's 1533-position model. The record is from RNAcentral.
UACGUAGGGGGCAAGCGUUGUCCGGAUUUAUUGGGCGUAAAGAGCGUGUAGGCGGCCAGGUAGGUCUGCUGUGAAAACCUAAGGCUCAACCUUGGGCUUGCAGUGGGUACGGGCAGACUAGAGUGCGGUAGGGGUGACUGGAAUUCCUGGUGUAGCGGUGAAAUGCGCAGAUAUCAGGAGGAACACCAAUGGCGAAGGCAGCUCGCUGGGACGGUACUGACGCUGGAGGCGCGAAAGCGUGGGGAGCAAACAGG